Molecule: ribosomal RNA, 974 nt
Filed under: uncultured Lactarius
Lineage: Eukaryota; Fungi; Basidiomycota; Agaricomycetes; Russulales; Russulaceae
Description: eukaryotic LSU rRNA
Rfam family: Eukaryotic large subunit ribosomal RNA (bases 718-974)
Source: RNAcentral
CUUGGUCAUUUAGAGGAAGUAAAAGUCGUAACAAGGUUUCCGUAGGUGAACCUGCGGAAGGAUCAUUAUUGUAACAAAAAUGUGUUAGAGGUGUGCAAGGGCUGUCGCUGACUUUUAACGCAAAAGUCGUGCGCGCCGGAGUGCGUCCUCUACACAUAAAAAUCCAUCUCACCCUUUUGUGCACCACCGCGUGGGCACCCUUCGGGAUCAAACCGAUCCAGGAAGGUGGCUUGCGUUUUCACACAAACCCCUUUUUUAAAAGUGUAGAAUGACCCCAUUUUUUGCGAUAACACGCGAUCAAUACAACUUUCAACAACGGAUCUCUUGGCUCUCGCAUCGAUGAAGAACGCAGCGAAAUGCGAUACGUAAUGUGAAUUGCAGAAUUCAGUGAAUCAUCGAAUCUUUGAACGCACCUUGCGCCCCUUGGUAUUCCGAGGGGCACACCCGUUUGAGUGUCGUGAAAAUCUCAACCUUCUUGGUUUCUUCUGGAAACCAAAGGAGGCUUGGACUUUGGAGGCCUUUGCUGGCGUCUCUCUCUUUUGAGAGCCCAGCUCCUCUUAAAUGAAUUAGCGGGGUCCUCUUUGCUGGUCCUCGACAUGUGAUAAGAUGUUUCCAUGUCUUGGUUUCUGGCUCUGUUGCUUUUGGGACCCGCUUCUAACCGUCUCGACGAGACAACGUUUGAGCACGUCUCCCGACGCUCUCAACCUCACGAACCCUUGACCUCAAAUCGGGUGAGACUACCCGCUGAACUUAAGCAUAUCAAUAAGCGGAGGAAAAGAAACUAACAAGGAUUCCCCUAGUAACUGCGAGUGAAGCGGGAAAAGCUCAAAUUUAAAAUCUGGCGGUCUUUGGCCGUCCGAGUUGUAAUUUAGAGAAGCGUCUUCCGCGCCGGACCGUGCACAAGUCUCCUGGAAUGGAGCGUCAUAGAGGGUGAGAAUCCCGUCUUUGGCACGGAUGCCUGGUGCUCUGUGAUG